ACUACGGGCGGCAGCAGUGAGGAAUAUUGGUCAAUGGGCGAGAGCCUGAACCAGCCAAGUCGCGUGAGGGAAGACGGUCCUAUGGAUUGUAAACCUCUUUUGUCGGGGAGCAAAAAGGCCUCGUGAGGCCACAAGUGAGAGUACCCGAAGAAAAAGCAUCGGCUAACUCCGUGCCAGCAGACGCGGUAAUACGGAGGAUGCGAGCGUUAUCCGGAUGUAUUGGGUUUAAAGGGUGCGUAGGCGGACUGGAAAGUCAGCGGUAAAAUCGAGAGGCUCAACCUCUUUCCGCCGUUGAAACUGUCGGUCUGGAGUGGGCGAGAAGUAUGCGGAAUGCGUGGUGUAGCGGUGAAAUGCAUAGAUAUCACGCAGAACUCCGAUUGCGAAGGCAGCAUACCGGCGCCCGACUGACGCUGAGGCACGAAAGCGUGGGUAUCGAACAGGAUUAGAUACCCCUGUAGUC
RNAcentral lists this ribosomal RNA (460 nucleotides) under uncultured bacterium. RNAcentral's name for it is "partial 16S ribosomal RNA". It matches the Rfam family "Bacterial small subunit ribosomal RNA", at positions 338 to 795 of the family's 1533-position model. The record is from RNAcentral.